UAGAAAGUGGAUGUGCAGCAGAAACAGCCUGCUAAGGAACAAGUAUCUUGAUUCACUGCGAAGAGGACAAAGGAGCAGCAAGCUGUAAGGGUUGGAGGCUGGAUUGCUUUAGUUUCUUUGAGUUAUCUUCACUUGGAUUUUGUUACCUGAUAGUGUCCAGAGAGAAGCUGACUGUAGUAAGAGGUUUCCCAGUUUAUACGGGUACAGGCAUCGCUCCAUGCCCUUCUCGUCUUGCAAUUUACAUAUGGACACCAAUAGCCUAAAGGGAACAGAUGAGAGAAGAGGCCACUACAAAUGCAAACACCAGGCCCUGCUUAACUGAAUACUGGUUAAAUGGUACAGUGAUUUGUUAUUUUUUUCCUAGAAGAUGGGCCUGAGUUUUUCUGGGAAUGCUGGAGAACAGUACGAUCCUUUUAUAGCAUUUG
Long non-coding RNA from Myodes glareolus (Bank vole), 425 nucleotides. RefSeq lists it as uncharacterized. The record is from RefSeq and is a predicted model, not a curated record. NCBI's taxonomy places the organism in Eukaryota, Metazoa, Chordata, Mammalia, Rodentia, Cricetidae.